This 497-nucleotide ribosomal RNA is filed under the name uncultured bacterium. Its description in RNAcentral is "partial 16S ribosomal RNA". It matches the Rfam family "Bacterial small subunit ribosomal RNA", at positions 28 to 507 of the family's 1533-position model. The record is from RNAcentral.
GAUGAACGCUGGCGGCGUGCCUAAUACAUGCAAGUCGAGCGAACAGACGAGGAGCUUGCUCCUCUGACGUUAGCGGCGGACGGGUGAGUAACACGUGGAUAACCUACCUAUAAGACUGGGAUAACUUCGGGAAACCGGAGCUAAUACCGGAUAAUAUAUUGAACCGCAUGGUUCAAUAGUGAAAGACGGUUUUGCUGUCACUUAUAGAUGGAUCCGCGCCGCAUUAGCUAGUUGGUAAGGUAACGGCUUACCAAGGCAACGAUGCGUAGCCGACCUGAGAGGGUGAUCGGCCACACGGGAGCUGAGACACGGACCUGACUCCUACGGGAGGCAGCAGUAGGGAAUCUUCCGCAAUGGGCGAAAGCCUGACGGAGCAACGCCGCGUGAGUGAUGAAGGUCUUCGGAUCGUAAAACUCUGUUAUUAGGGAAGAACAAAUGUGUAAGUAACUAUGCACGGCUUGACGGUACCUAAUCAGAAAGCCACGGCUAACUACGUG